This 1733-nucleotide long non-coding RNA is filed under the name Gadus morhua (Atlantic cod). RNAcentral describes it as "lncRNA (ENSGMOG00000025743.1)". Lineage: Eukaryota; Metazoa; Chordata; Actinopteri; Gadiformes; Gadidae. The record is from RNAcentral.
AGCCAGCCUCCGGGCCUGAGGCCAUCUCGGUCUCCGGGUCUGAGGCCACCCGGCCUCUGGGCCUCCAGGCCUGAGGCCACCCGGCCUCUGAUUCUGAGGCCACCCGGCCUGCUGGCCACGCGGCCUCUGGGCCUUCAGGCCACCCGGCCUCCUGGCCUGAUUAUAUUAUACUGUUUUUAUUCACUGAAGGAACUGAAACUAACCUAAACAAAAAAAACAUGUGCACAUGCACAACCACCACCAUCACCUCCUCCUCCACCUCCUCCAUCUCCUCCUCCGCCUCGUGGUGCAGCGGGGAAGUAAUCCAGUCAGCAGAUGUACCUUCUAGAACAGAUCAAAACAAAUGUUGCCUAAUGACAGCAGGAGGACCCCAGCUCUAAAGGGGGGGGCUGUAACCACUAGACACUCCUGUUGAAAUGAGAAGGGUCCAGCUGCAGGCUUGGGAGUUCCCGUCAUGACACAAAAACGCCCAUCAGGCGUUCCCGUCAUGACACAAAAACGCCCAUCAGGCGUUCCUGUAGCGUUUCAUCGAUCAAUCAAGAAGAGGUGAGUGAGUUUCGCAAGGCAUGCUGGUACCCUGGCACAUGCUUUGUCCAAUGGACCAUGGAAGGGACUUUACUUGGCUGACGAGUACGCAAUGUAUUCUACCCUCAAAAGCAAUAUGAUUUCAGUGAGGUGAGUUCUUUCAAAUCUCAAUCAGAUGUGUAGCAUGAAAUAUAAGGCUUUUAAUAGUUUUGUCAUCCUUACUGGAGGCUACAAUUAACAUGCAUCAUAGGUCAUACACAUUACUUUGUCUUCAGGUACUGCACUUACGGGAGGAGAUGGCUACAUCUUCACAAUAAUUUACACUGCCAUAGUACACUGCUAAACAGUACUGUAACAUGGAUUUGUAUCAGGCUAUGAAGUCAUUUAAAGCAAAACUUUACUUUUCAGGGGGACAUGCUCUCUAUCAGGAGGUGGUGGUUGGACAGCUGUUGGAGACCUUUAUGCUUGAAAGCCCUGCAGAACUAGCUGGCUCCUUCUCACCCUCUCCAUCUCCCCAUCUCAGUCACACCUUCCAAUCACUAAGCAGUGAAAGCCCUGCAGGACUAGCUGGCACACCAAGCUCACCCUCUCCAUCUCCCCAUCUCAGCCACACGCUCCAAUCUGGCACAACAGAGGACAGGCCAUUCUUACCACCCGAAGUCCUUCAGCAAAUUGUACAAGAGACGCUGAGACUGGACAUGGCGAUGCUUGGCGUGUUCAACAGGGUUUCAAACACAUUCCGAGAACUAAUCAAGCCUCUCCAUCCUUCCAUAUAUAUAAAUGACAGUUUGGCAGGGGACAUUAAGCUUAAUAAAGACAAUCUCGUAUAAAUAACGGUUAGAAAGAUUUACAACAAUGCAGGCUGUGGCAGUGGCCUUGCGCUACGCCUCAAAGGCUUCUCAAAAAAGAAGAAUUGGCCAAGCGCACCCCUGGUACUGAGGCACGUUGCAUAUGGCAGGUUUGUCAUAAAAGAUGUCUGCCUUGCAUAAUGUUCUUUUAUUACUCCUUUUUCGUUUUAUUUGGAACGUCUUUUUUUGCAAUCCCUUUCAUUUGUAAAUGUACAUACUACUGUAGUAAAUGUAUCUGCCCAGAAAUGCUGGUAUUUUAUUACUCCUUUCUUUUUUGUUUUUGUGACAAAUGCUAUACGAUGCAUAGCGAUGUAUAUACUUGGAGUCAAAUGGCCUACUGUUUGAGCCUUCAUAGUGUCU